This 774-nucleotide ribosomal RNA is filed under the name uncultured Neocallimastigales. RNAcentral's name for it is "partial large subunit ribosomal RNA". It matches the Rfam family "Eukaryotic large subunit ribosomal RNA", at positions 24 to 649 of the family's 3401-position model. The record is from RNAcentral. Lineage: Eukaryota; Fungi; Neocallimastigomycota; Neocallimastigomycetes; Neocallimastigales.
UAUGUGAUCGUCUCUCGCAUAUCAAUAAGCGGAGGAAAAGAAACUAACAAGGAUUCCCCUAGUAACGGCGAGUGAAGCGGGAAGAGCUCAAAUUUGAAAUCUUAAAGGGUUUCCCUUUACGAAUUGUAGUUUAAAGAAGUGUUUUCUGUUGAGGUUUUGGUAAAGGUUCUUUGGAAUAGGACAUCAUAGAGGGUGAGAAUCCCGUAUUUGACCUUUACUUUCAACUUUGUGAUACACUUUCAAAGAGUCGGAUUGUUUGGGAAUGCAGUCCAAAAUGGGUGGUAAACUUCAUCUAAAGCUAAAUAUUGGCGAGAGACCGAUAGCGAACAAGUACCGUGAGGGAAAGAUGAAAAGAACUUUGAAAAGAGAGUUAAACAGUACGUGAAAUUGUCAAAAGGGAAGCGUUUGACACCAGUGUUGUUUUUCUGAAAAUCAAUUAAAGAACUGUUUAUGCUAAGCUGUUUAGACUUUAUCAGCUAACUGUUUAGUUUUGAGCUUUUCUUUAAUGCACUUUUCAGUUAACAAGUCAACAUCAAUUUCUUUUGCUGUAAAAAAGCUUGAGGAAGGUGGCUUGAGAUUCGUCUUAAGUGUUUAUAGCCUCUUGCCUAUGCAGUCGGAGAGAUUGAGGUCUGCAGCGUAGAUCCUUCGGGGCUAAAUGCAUUUGUGCUAAGUUAUAGCAUUUUAUAGACAACUUGUUGACUAUGAUUUGUCUUGUAGCUUACUCGCCUAUGUUAUUUUACCUACGCUUAGGAUGUUGAGUAGCGACAUACGCAC